GACGAACGCUGGCGGCGUGCUUAACACAUGCAAGUCGAACGGAAAGGCCCUGCUUUUGUGGGGUGCUCGAGUGGCGAACGGGUGAGUAACACGUGAGUAACCUGCCCUUGACUUUGGGAUAACUUCAGGAAACUGGGGCUAAUACCGGAUAGGAGCUCCUGCUGCAUGGUGGGGGUUGGAAGGUUUCGGCGGUUGGGGAUGGACUCGCGGUUUAUCAGCUUGUUGCUGGGGUAGUGGCUUACCAAGGCUUUGACGGGUGGCCGGCCUGGGGGGGUGACCGGCAAAAUUGGGAUGGGAAUACGGCCCGGCCUCCAACGGGAGGCGGCGGUGGGGAAUAUUGCACAAUGGGCGGAGGCCGGAGGCAGCAACGCCGCGGGCGGGAUGACGGCCUUCGGGUUGUAAACCGCUUUCGCAUGUGACGAAGCGGGAGUGACGGUAAUGGGUGAAGAAGCACCGGCUAACUACGUG
RNAcentral lists this ribosomal RNA (468 nucleotides) under uncultured bacterium. RNAcentral's name for it is "partial 16S ribosomal RNA". It matches the Rfam family "Bacterial small subunit ribosomal RNA", at positions 28 to 507 of the family's 1533-position model. The record is from RNAcentral.